RNAcentral lists this ribosomal RNA (460 nucleotides) under uncultured bacterium. Its description in RNAcentral is "partial 16S ribosomal RNA". It matches the Rfam family "Bacterial small subunit ribosomal RNA", at positions 338 to 795 of the family's 1533-position model. The record is from RNAcentral.
CCUACGGGUGGCAGCAGUGAGGAAUAUUGGUCAAUGGGCGAGAGUCUGAACCAGCCAAGUAGCGUGAAGGAUGACUGCCCUAUGGGUUGUAAACUUCUUUUAUAUGGGAAUAAAAUGUUCCACGUGUGGGAUUUUGUAUGUACCAUAUGAAUAAGGAUCGGCUAACUCCGUGCCAGCAGCCGCGGUAAUACGGAGGAUCCGAGCGUUAUCCGGAUUUAUUGGGUUUAAAGGGAGCGUAGGUGGGUUGUUAAGUCAGUUGUGAAAGUUUGCGGCUCAACCGUAAAAUUGCAGUUGAGACUGGCAGUCUUGAGUACAGUAGAGGUGGGCGGAAUUCGUGGUGUAGCGGUGAAAUGCUUAGAUAUCACGAAGAACUCCGAUUGCGAAGGCAGUUCACUGGACUGCCACUGACACUGAGGCUCGAAAGUGUGGGUAUCAAACAGGAUUAGAUACCCUUGUAGUC